UAAUCCACCACGUGCCACAUUCCUGUGCAAAUAGGAGGAUCUGUUAGCUUUUGAAAGACUAAUUUCAGAAGGCAACUUAAUUAGUGAUGAUAAAGCUUUUGAAAGACUAAUUUCAGAAGGCAACUUAAUUAGUGAUGAUAAAGAGGAUAAGCCUGUGAAAAUGUGCAAGAACAGAAAAUUUAAGCAGCAAACAACCCAAUGUUUCUUGCUUUUAAAGUAUGUGUACGUUUAUGAUCUUACAGAGCUAAGACCUAAAAUUUAAACCAUGCUAGCACUUGUCGUAAUGUUACAGGGCUGGUAUCUCCAAGUGAAGAAGUUUCUCCUUGAGUAUAUUAUCCAAAACAAAUAUUUUCGCCUUUUUGUAUUACUUUUGUAAGCGGACAUUAGUUACAAACUUAAAUUUAAGGUAAAUAAAAAUUCAGAUAUAGGCGUAUAGCUAGAACUAGUACACUGUAGCAGUCGAAUAUUAAAUACUUGAGAUUCUUUUCAUUUGACGAGAAACACAAAAAACAAACCAGAAUGUGAUUGCCUUGUAAACAACAUAUCUUAUUCUCUAUCAUCACAUGUGCUCUGCUAUAAAGAACACGACUACCUAGAUGAAUCAGUCUGAUCUUAACUCAUUUUGUACUUUCAAGAUGACCUCAAUCUAGAAUCGAUGGGUUCGUAAAAGGAAGCAGAGAUCAUAAGCUAAAGCCUAGUUCCUCAGUUAUCCAGACAUGGCAUUGUUACAGGCCAAACAGAAACUCCUCAACACAUUUAGCUCAUUAGCUGGAAUUUUUGUUAUUGCAAAAAGAUAAAAGCAAGCACCAAGCUUGCUCUAUAGAAAAAAACACAAACAACAUAUUGAAAACUACGGGGAAAGCAGCCCAAUCACUUCCUUUCAUCCUGCAGUGCAUUAUAAAAUAUCAAUUGCUCAUGGUAUAACUAAAUACAUUAUAAAAUAUGCAAAGUCAGUGAACAAAGAAAAUGAGAUAAACCAAACUGGAUGGAUUGUAUCUAUCAUGGUAUCACCUCCUUAAUCACUGUGAAGUGAUAGAUGAUGAUACAAAAUCCUAUAUCGACUUGUAGUCAAGUGGGCUAGAGCCUUAUAAGGCCAAG
RNAcentral lists this unclassified non-coding RNA (1098 nucleotides) under Hevea brasiliensis (rubber tree). Lineage: Eukaryota; Viridiplantae; Streptophyta; Magnoliopsida; Malpighiales; Euphorbiaceae. The record is from RNAcentral.